CAGGCCUAACACAUGCAAGUCGAACGGCAGCAUGAUCUAGCUUGCUAGAUUGAUGGCGAGUGGCGAACGGGUGAGUAAUACAUCGGAACGUGCCCUGUAGUGGGGGAUAACUAGUCGAAAGAUUAGCUAAUACCGCAUACGACCUGAGGGUGAAAGUGGGGGACCGCAAGGCCUCAUGCUGUAGGAGCGGCCGAUGUCUGAUUAGCUAGUUGGUGGGGUAAAGGCCCACCAAGGCGACGAUCAGUAGCUGGUCUGAGAGGACGAUCAGCCACACUGGGACUGAGACACGGCCCAGACUCCUACGGGAGGCAGCAGUGGGGAAUUUUGGACAAUGGGCGAAAGCCUGAUCCAGCAAUGCCGCGUGUGUGAAGAAGGCCUUCGGGUUGUAAAGCACUUUUGUCCGGAAAGAAAUGGCUCUGGUUAAUACCUGGGGUCGAUGACGGUACCGGAAGAAUAAGGACCGGCUAACUACGUGCCAGCAGCCGCGGUAAU
RNAcentral lists this ribosomal RNA (492 nucleotides) under uncultured bacterium. Its description in RNAcentral is "bacterial SSU rRNA". It matches the Rfam family "Bacterial small subunit ribosomal RNA", at positions 43 to 524 of the family's 1533-position model. The record is from RNAcentral.